CAUGGUUUUUGGCUAAUAAAGUCAACGAUGCAGGAAAACCACCUUAAAUAGCGACUCUCAGCUCUUCAGUCUCACCCAGCAUCCGGCCAUUUCUUCACUCCACCAUGGCGACCUGCUCCUUCAUGUCUUCAUGUCCUCUGAUAGCAUCAUCAAGAUGCAAUUGGGCUUCCUGAAAACAACAGAAUGAAAAGUUAUCUUUCCAGCAUCAUGACUCUCUGCUCCCAGCUUGUUGACCUGAGACCCAGCGAUGUCAGCACGCCUCCAGCUCA
Non-coding RNA from Plectropomus leopardus (leopard coralgrouper), 269 nucleotides. The record is from RefSeq and is a predicted model, not a curated record. NCBI's taxonomy places the organism in Eukaryota, Metazoa, Chordata, Actinopteri, Perciformes, Serranidae.